RNAcentral lists this ribosomal RNA (450 nucleotides) under uncultured Glomus. Its description in RNAcentral is "SSU rRNA". It matches the Rfam family "Eukaryotic small subunit ribosomal RNA", at positions 569 to 1024 of the family's 1831-position model. Lineage: Eukaryota; Fungi; Glomeromycota; Glomeromycetes; Glomerales; Glomeraceae. RNAcentral also lists the same sequence under 1 other name. The record is from RNAcentral.
AGCAGCCGCGGUAAUUCCAGCUCCAAUAGCGUAUAUUAAAGUUGUUGCAGUUAAAAAGCUCGUAGUUGAAUUUCGGGAUCAAUACGUCGGUCGUGCUUCGGUACGUACUGGCGUAAUUGAUUUCUCCCUUCUGACGAACCAUGAUGUCAUUAACUUGGUGUCAUGGGAAAUCAGGACUGUUACUUUGAAAAAAUUAGAGUGUUUAAAGCAGGCUCACGCUUGAAUACAUUAGCAUGGAAUAAUGAAAUAGGACGUUCGAUCCUAUUUUGUUGGUUUUUAGGAUCAACGUAAUGAUUAAUAGGGAUAGUUGGGGGCAUUAGUAUUCAAUUGUCAGAGGUGAAAUUCUUGGAUUUAUUGAAGACUAACUACUGCGAAAGCAUUUGCCAAGGAUGUUUUCAUUAAUCAAGAACGAAAGUUAGGGGAUCGAAGACGAUCAGAUACCGUCGUAGU